Long non-coding RNA from Triticum dicoccoides, 557 nucleotides. RefSeq lists it as uncharacterized. NCBI's taxonomy places the organism in Eukaryota, Viridiplantae, Streptophyta, Magnoliopsida, Poales, Poaceae. The transcript has 4 exons. The record is from RefSeq and is a predicted model, not a curated record.
GGUGCCAACGGGCCGUACAGCGGAGCGUAUGUACAGCUGCCGGUGUGGAAGCCGGCGCGCGUCCACGGCUCGGAGUACACCGCGACCUACCUCCUCCUGGCCGGCACCAAGGACACCGAAUUCGACCCUACACCCGGCGUAUUACCGCCCGAUGUCACCAAUCAGAUAGCAGCUGGCCUCUUUGCUUAUCCAGAAAAAGACACCAAUCCUCGGUUAAACAUAUUCUAUACGGCCGAUGGCGGUAAGACUCUGUGCUACAACUUGAACUGCGGAGGGUUCGUUCAAACAAGCAGGGCCAUCGCCCUGGGCGCUAGCAUCGUCAAUGGUGCAUCCGGUGUAGAUGAUCCCGUACCAUACUUACUAGUUAGUAUAGAAAAGAGCGCUGCUGGGCCUUGGCAUGUGCUGGUGAACGACACGGACCUCGGCUACUACCCUCGACUGUGCUCCGCGGCCCGCCUAGAUAGCUAGCUACAUUAUCCGGUUAGGUGCAUGUAUGCAAAAAAACUUCCUAGUGGCCUGUGGGUGCGCGAUUUUAAGAUUGGAAGUCUGAAGCUAAA